AGAGGCCACGCGCAGGGUUUUGGAUGGAUAUGGCCGUCGUGGUGGUGCCAAGAGGCCGCUUGUGCCACCCAGCGCCCUCAGGAGCAGCGCAGCCCGGCGGUGGUGAGGGGUUGGUGCCCCCUCAGAGCCAGGGGAAAGGUUUCAGGUGUAGUGAUCCAAGUGUAACCCACGUAGGUGGUUUGGGAAAAAGCUCUUGGAAGGCCACACCUAAAAGAAUAAUAAAUAAUAGGAAAUGGCCCUUUGCGAGAUAUAAAAUACUAUAUUUCACGUACUUGUGUAACUUUUUUUUUAGUAAUCUUUCCUUAAAGUCAUUUUUAAAAUGUUAAAGUUUCUCCUUUUAAAGAUGCUGUAGGUCCUCAGUGAACAUAUUGAGUAAUCUUACUAGUAAUCUUUUCAUGUGCACAGUUAUAUUUGAGGUCUUUUUCAGCCUAAAUUAUUCUAUUUUUGUACUAAUUUAGAAAAAAAUGGGCUAGAGAGUGACUAAAUAAUCGUCUUUCCUUAGGGUUCCUUAGAUCUUUUUCAGCCUUAAAAAUUCCAUAAUCCUUUGAUCUGUUUUUAAUUUAUUUUUUUAACUUGACCAGGUUCAUUACUCUCACCUUGAAGGAAAGUGUCCACAUCACAGCAGUGAGUCACACAAGACAGAGGCCACCAAGGCUGUUUGAUUUUAUCUAAGAGUUGGCACAGGAUGAGUUUGAAACAGCAAAAUCCUGGAGUCAUCCUUGCCCAUGGAAGGGCCUCCUUCCUCCAAGGACAUGGUGACACAAAGCAAAGGAACAAAAAGAGAGGCAAUCCUGCAGGAAGGACAGCUGGAACACGUGGCUGAGAUACAACCUCCCUCUGGAUGAAGCAUGAAUUGCUUGGCAAAGCUGAUGGUGCACAGGGGACCAGACUCCAAGAUGAAAACCAAACCUUGCUGAAAUCUGAAAGCACAGAUUGCAUCCUGGAUGAAUGUGGGCAGGAGUUGGAUGAAUAAAGAGGUAUUAAUUCUUACUGCAUCUACCAUUGAAAUGGAAUAGAAGUGGGCAACUGUUCAAAAGCAAAGUAGGAUGGAAUUAAUCUGUUUUUCUCAUGACCUUUUUUUUUUUUUUUUUUUUUUAGGACUUCACUUACAGCAACAGUUCACCUAAACCCAUUUCCAAUACUUGCUGUAAUAGGGAAAAACCCCACCUUUGUCAUGCAGAGAAAGGCAAGACAAAACCCACAUUUAAGAAAAACAUCUGAAAACACCCCCCAACAAAAAACCCACCCUGAUACUUGACUUCUGGAAUGGGUUCUUAAGAGCAAAUCCAAGUGUGUAGGGAACCCAGAGAUCCUCUGAAUGAAAACCAGGAGCAGUUUUUCAUCUGGGCACAGCGUCCUUGUGCAAGAAUGACAGAGUUCAUCAAAGGUUACUAAUGGGCAUGUAAAUUAUGAGGUCGUCUGGCUGUCUGGACAGACUUGGGUGGGUGACCUGGGAUAGACUCAUGGGAUCCUUAAGAUUGGAAAAGACUUCCAAGAUCAAGCCAACCUUCGACUGAAUACUCCCAUGCCCAGUAAACUGUGUCACAAAGUGCUACAUCUACUCAUUUUUUGACCACUUCAAGGGACUGUGACCACCACUUCCCUGGGGAGGCUGUGUUAAAGACUUUCAAGGAUGGAGGAGUAUGAAGAGCUCACGGUGUGCCUUGGCUUGGGAGCACUUAGGGAAGCACGGAGUCAUGCUCUGCCAAAUGAGUUCGUCAGCCCUGAGCUCACGAUGUUCCUCAGCAUUUGAGCCAUAGCUGCUGGGUAAAGUGGCACAGAGAGAACCCUUCCAGCCCUGGAAAACUCGGCAUUGAGGCAUGGAGAACUCAGCUUUAGCUGGGGAGGAUCACAGACUGAGCAGCACAGCCAGGUAAUGCAGGACAGGUCACCUUGCACCAACCUGAGCUGCCUCAGGGCACUGCAGGCAGCAGCACAGAACAAGGGGUUAGGCCAGGCUGGACUUGAACUAGACAGGACCUGGUCAGGGAGGAGGAAGAACGAGGCUCAGGGAAGGGAAAGAAUGAUUCUGUGGGGGAACUUCUGCAAAUAUGUGCUUCCCUUUGCUGAUAAAGGAGGGCGUGAGGCACGGAGAUCAGCUACCUUGUUUGUCUGCUCUCACACCCUGCCAGGCCCUGGCAGCAGCACUCCCUUAUCUCCAGCACAUGGGCACAUUCAGCUGUGCAGCCAUUCCCUAAUCCACCACUCUGGGCCUGGGCUGCUCCUCGUGUUCAUUCUCCUUCUCCCUGUUCUGACACGAGGAUUAAUUUUUAAAUAAGCUUGGAUAAAAUGUCAGCUUUAGCUGGAUCAUUCUCACGCAUUGCUUAAGGCUUUAGCAGUGUAACGGGGGCAAUAUUGUCUCUGUCAAGGUACACAGGGAACAAAACGCCUCCCGUGUGAUAACGAGGGUGCUGCAGCAGCAUUUCUGUCCUUGGUUUGUGGCACAGAGCUCUUCCUUUCACUGCAGGCAGCUGGGGAGCGCAGGUUUCACACCUCCCUCUGCUGUAUUUACACCUCUAUUGUUUGUUAUUUACUUGUGUCUCGGGUUAUGUAGGCGGCAGCAGCCUCUUGUGCGUGUACCCGGAGGAAUUAAAUGAAUUUGCAGAGCAACCUGCUGGGAACUUCCAAGGGGACAAAGCCAUUUUUUGUACACCCACGAGCAGCACGGAAAAACCGAGCUGCAGAAAAUGAGGAAUUGGGUCUUUUUGAAUAUUGUGGGUCUCUACAGCACCGAUGCCUUUUAAGUUGUUGCUGUGGAAGUUGUCCAGCUGAGAGCUUCGUGUCACUCUCAGCUACAAUUAAAGUGUUUUUUAUGGGGGUUGAAUGACGACCGCACAACACACCCUUCUCGUGAGGCUUUUUGUUUGGCAUUUCACCUUCCUUAACCAAAAUGGAUUAACUAUGGAUUCGCAGAGAAGCCUCUCACGGGGGGCGGUGAGCUGGCUCCGUCCCCGGCCGCACCGAGCCGGGGAGAACAGGGCGAGUCAUCCUUGAGAAAAAAAAAAAAAAAAACACAUUUUUGCGCGGCGUGACUCACAUAACCGUCCUCAGCAGGCACGAAGCACCGGCGGCCAGCGAGUCCCCGCGAGUUAUUCGGAGCACGCGAGACACGCGGGGCGUGGAGGGCAAGUAUGUGGGUUAGGCGCAGCCGCGCUGUGCCCGGUGCCCGAACGUUAAUUGCGUUAAUUGCGUUAAUUGCGGGGGAGAGGCGGGGCGGGGGCGCGGACCCCGCUCGGCGCCGCGGGGGCUGCCGGGAAACGCCCGCUGUUAUUGUCCCGCAACAUGCAAAUGAGGCAGGGCGGGGAGCCAAUGAGGGGCGGCUGCGCGCCGCCGGUGCGCGUGCGCGCCGGGAGGCGGGGAGGAGGCGGGGCCGAGCUGGCGCCCCGCCCAGCGCCGGGGCCCUCACCUCACCUCAGCACGCGCGGCGAAGAUGGCGGCAGCGGCGGGCGGAGGG
This is a long non-coding RNA of Cinclus cinclus, 3454 nucleotides long. RefSeq lists it as uncharacterized. The record is from RefSeq and is a predicted model, not a curated record. Lineage: Eukaryota; Metazoa; Chordata; Aves; Passeriformes; Cinclidae. The transcript has 5 exons.